This 1175-nucleotide ribosomal RNA is filed under the name marine metagenome. Its description in RNAcentral is "bacterial LSU rRNA". It matches the Rfam family "Bacterial large subunit ribosomal RNA", at positions 1751 to 2925 of the family's 2925-position model. The record is from RNAcentral.
CCCGUGCGGUGUGGUGGCGGUGAGGGGCGCAGAGUCCAGGGGGAAACGACUGUUUACCAAAAACACAGGUCCGUGCGAAGUCGUAAGACGAUGUAUACGGACUGACUCCUGCCCGGUGCUGGAAGGUUAAGGGGAACUGUGAGUGUGAUGCGUAGCGGUGAACUUAAGCCCCAGUAAACGGCGGUGGUAACUAUAACCAUCCUAAGGUAGCGAAAUUCCUUGUCGGGUAAGUUCCGACCUGCACGAAUGGAGUAACGAUUUCCCUACUGUCUCCACCAUGAACUCGGUGAAAUUGCAUUACGAGUAAAGAUGCUCGUUACGCGCAGCAGGACGGAAAGACCCCGGGACCUUUACUAUAGUUUGGUAUUGGUGAUUGGGACGGUUUGUGUAGGAUAGGUGGGAGACGUUGAUGCGGCCACGCUAGUGGUGGUGGAGUCGUUGGUGAAAUACCACUCUGAUUGUUCUGGUUAUCUCACUGUGGACCGUGAUCCGGUUCAAGGACAGUGCCUGAUGGGUAGUUUGACUGGGGCGGUCGCCUCCUAAAGGGUAACGGAGGCGCCCAAAGGUUCCCUCAUCCUGGUUGGUAAUCAGGUGGUGAGUGUAAGUGCACAAGGGGGCUUGACUGUGAGACUGACAGGUCGAGCAGGGACGAAAGUCGGGACUAGUGAUCUGACGGUGGCUUGUGGAUGCGCCGUCACUCAACGGAUAAAAGGUACCCCGGGGAUAACAGGCUGAUCUUGCCCGAGCGCUCAUAGCGACGGCAUGGUUUGGCACCUCGAUGUCGGCUCGUCGCAUCCUGGGGCUGGAGUCGGUCCCAAGGGUUGGGCUGUUCGCCCAUUAAAGCGGCACGCGAGCUGGGUUCAGAACGUCGUGAGACAGUUCGGUCCCUAUCCGCUGCGCGCGGAGGAAUCUUGAGAAGGGCUGUCUUUAGUACGAGAGGACCGAGACGGACUGACCUCUGGUGUGCCAGUUGUUCUGCCAAGAGCAUGGCUGGUUGGCUACGUCGGGUUGUGAUAACCGCUGAAAGCAUCUAAGCGGGAAGCACGCUUCAAGAUAAGGGUUCCCACAGGUGAUCCUGGUAAGGUCCCCGAGAGAUGAUCGGGUUGAUAGGCCAGACGUGGACGCAUCGUAAGGUGUGGAGCUGACUGGUACUAAUAGACCGAGGACUUUCAUUA